UGCAAUCCAGGGGAAACCACAAAAAGAGAGGUUGUUUUGAACCUGAGGGAAAACACAAAAAGAUGUUCCGCCUACAGCCCAUGAUCAACAUUGGGAUGAUGUAAGCCCAUGCAAAGGCCUGGCCUGCUGCCCCCAUCUCCAGAGCAGAUGAAAGGUACCGCGCGCUGAGUCGCCAUCUGGAAGCAAGGUUCUGGAGUUGAGCUCCUAUCUAACAACAAACAGGCCAGGCUGGAAGAACCCUGUCGUGCACAACACUCCUCAGGAGAUGGCUCUGGGCUGGAGCCCAAGGCCCCCAGGGAGGAACUUCCAACACCACUGGUCCAUCAUAUCUGAAGACUCCGCCGAGGAUCCUGGGUCCCAGCUGGCAGGGUCCAGUCCCACAGCCACCUUCAGAAAAGAGAGGCUUUCGACUAUCGAGGACCUAGAGAAUUCCAGUGAGCAGGUGGAGCCCCAUCCAGACCCUUUAGCUGCAGAGGAAGAACCAUGUAUGUCAGCCUCGUUGAACAAGGAGCAGUAUCAGAAGACAGAAGCCCUGCAGGAAAUGAACUGGCCAAGGAACCCAAGGAUACCUGGAAUUUCAGACAGCCCCUGGCAGAGAAGACGAGACCCAAAGAAGCGGGCAGCUGCAAUGCAACGUUUGCAGCAAUGGGAGGCCCAGAUGCUUCUGGAAAUUGAAGAGGCGGUCCAUCAUGAGCUUACCAUCCAAGACGGGAUCCUUAGCAUGGAGUUCCCUGACCAAACCCAGGGGCCACUUAGCUUUGGCACAGUCAGGGUAGAAGCCCAGGACCCUGCUACCUUGGAAUAAUUGGAUCAUGUACACCACACACUACAGCUGGCCCAGGAGCAGGCCACUCACUGCAGCUGUGGCAGGAACUUCGGAUUCCGUGUGAUGUUCUCUAUGAGUUGUAAUUUAUUUUAUAUUUAAACAUCUGCAUAUUUUCAAGUCCCUUAUUAUUAAAAUAAUCCUCUAUUUUCAUUUGUGUAAUUAUCUGGUUAAGAAAAUCAGUCUUGAGAGAGUAUCAGGGCUUUAUUAAUUUUUCAGAUAAGACAGAAUACUAUUUUUAGACCUGAUGAGAAUUGUGUAACAUAGAGAUGGAGAAGAACGCAUCAGAGAAAAGGCCUUCCAAUCUUCGCUAUUAAAAAUAAACUCUUUGCAUGAGAACUAUUUCCAAAGUUUGUGCUUGAAUGCAAAUCAAUCCUAUGUGUAGCCAAGAGAAUUCUAUUUCAACCUCACUUUUCAAAGACUGAAAUUCAAACACAAAAUGAGUUCAGGGAAGCAGUUUGGGGCAAUGUGUUCUUAAAAGAAAGAAUUGCAGGCCUCGGAGGAAGGACUUAGGUGACAGAUAUUUUCUGGACAUUUAUGUUAGUUUCCUGGGUUACUGUGUAUUUGCCUGGUUAGAGUAUACUUUACUAACAGACACUCAGCUGAAGACAUUAGAAUGUCAUUCUUGGGGCUGGCAAGAUGGCUCGGUGAGGUAAG
Myodes glareolus (Bank vole) is the source of this 1480-nucleotide non-coding RNA. Lineage: Eukaryota; Metazoa; Chordata; Mammalia; Rodentia; Cricetidae. The record is from RefSeq and is a predicted model, not a curated record.